Molecule: ribosomal RNA, 406 nt
Filed under: uncultured bacterium
Lineage: Bacteria
Description: partial 16S ribosomal RNA
Rfam family: Bacterial small subunit ribosomal RNA
Source: RNAcentral
AUCGAACGCUGGCGGCAGGCCUAAUACAUGCAAGUCGAACGAGUGGCGGACGGGUGAGUAAUGUCGGGGAACCUGCCUGAUGGAGGGGGAUAAGUAGGGGAAACGGUAGCUAAUACUGCAUACGACGCGAUGUGCCCAGAGGGGAUGAGCUUGGUGGUGGGGUAACGGCUCACCAAGGCGACGAUCCCUAGCUGGUCUGCGAGGGUGACCGGCCACACUGGGACUGAGACACGGUCCAGACUCCUACGGGAGGCAGCAGUGGGGAAUAUUGCGCAAUGGGCGAAAGCCUGAUGCAGCCAUGCCGCGUGUAUGAAGAAGGCCUUCGGGUUGUAAAGUACUUUCAGCGGGGAGGCGUUACCCGCAGAAGAAGCACCGGCUAACUCCGUGCCAGCAGCCGCGGUAAUUC